This 719-nucleotide ribosomal RNA is filed under the name uncultured bacterium. RNAcentral describes it as "bacterial SSU rRNA". It matches the Rfam family "Bacterial small subunit ribosomal RNA", at positions 65 to 773 of the family's 1533-position model. The record is from RNAcentral.
CACGAUAUGAUUUAAGACAAUGCAAGGAGUGGCGAACGGGUGAGUAACACGUGGGAAACCUACCUCUUAGCAGGGGAUAACAUUUGGAAACAGAUGCUAAUACCGUAUAAUACUAAAAACCGCAUGGUUUUUAUUUGAAAGAUGGUUCUGCUAUCACUAAGAGAUGGUCCCGCGGUGCAUUAGUUAGAUGGUGAGGUAAUGGCUCACCAUGACGAUGAUGCAUAGCCGAGUUGAGAGACUGAUCGGCCACAAUGGGACUGAGACACGGCCCAUACUCCUACGGGAGGCAGCAGUAGGGAAUCUUCCACAAUGGGCGCAAGCCUGAUGGAGCAACGCCGCGUGUGUGAUGAAGGGUUUCGGCUCGUAAAGCACUGUUGUAAGAGAAGAAUGUGCUUGAGAGUAACUGUUCAAGUAGUGACGGUAUCUUACCAGAAAGGGACGGCUAAAUACGUGCCAGCAGCCGCGGUAAUACGUAUGUCCCAAGCGUUAUCCGGAUUUAUUGGGCGUAAAGCGAGCGCAGACGGUUAUUUAAGUCUGAAGUGAAAGCCCUCAGCUCAACUGAGGAAUUGCUUUGGAAACUGGAUGACUUGAGUGCAGUAGAGGAAAGUGGAACUCCAUGUGUAGCGGUGAAAUGCGUAGAUAUAUGGAAGAACACCAGUGGCGAAGGCGGCUUUCUGGACUGUAACUGACGUUGAGGCUCGAAAGUGUGGGUAGCAAAC